GCUUGUCCAGGGAGCGGAGCCUCGCCAAGCCCACAGGCUCGGAGCAGCCCGGACCCCGGGGGCCGCGGGGGUGGGCUCGGGGUCGCCCCAGCCUCAACUGCCAGGCCGAAGGCGAGGUCCGAGGGCAGAGAUGCCACUGGGGACCAAGGUCAGCCACGCUUCCUUCGGGAUGCUUCCUCUUGUCUCCUUCCUCCGGGGGCAGCUGCUGUUGCUGCUCCUUCUGGGCACCGCGUCUCCCCAGGACCCCGAGGAGCCGGAC
Molecule: long non-coding RNA, 259 nt
Filed under: Sarcophilus harrisii (Tasmanian devil)
Lineage: Eukaryota; Metazoa; Chordata; Mammalia; Dasyuromorphia; Dasyuridae
Description: lncRNA (ENSSHAG00000020538.1)
Source: RNAcentral